AAGUCUGACAGACCAUCAAUCACCUACCUGUACUGACGGUGAGGAGAGCCAUUCCUGAAGCUAUUUUAAAUGUACUACUUUGUUGACAUCACUGUGGAUGUCAAAGGAGAGGAGAGGGAUGAAACCGAAAUCAAGGCCUGGCUUGUCCAGGUUUUCCAAAACAACCUGGAGAGCUGCGUGUCCCCGAACAAUGAAUCAACAACUGCCCCACCUACUUCCACACAUACAAAUGAGACGACACUCAUGACGACAGCAACAACAAUACAAAGCUUUAACACAACUACAGCUACAACAGUUUUGACAAGCAAUGACACAACUACAGCUACAAUAGUUUUAACAAGCAACAACACAACUCCAGCCUCAACAUCAAAUACGUUUAACAGCAACAACACAACUCCAGCCUCAACAUCAACAACGCUUACAAGCAACAACACAACUCCAGUCUCAACAUUAACAACGUUAAAAAGCAACAACACAUCUCCAGUCUCAACAUUAACAACGUUAAAAAGCAACAACACAUCUCCAGUCUCAACAUUAACAACGUUAAAAAGCAACAACACAACUCCAGUCUCAACAUCAACAACUUUUAACAGCAACAACACAACUCCAGCCUCAACACUAACAACGUUAAAAAGCAACAACACAACUCCAGUCUCAACAUCAACAACGUUUAACAGCAACAACACAACUCCAGCCUCAACACUAACAACGUUAAAAAGCAACAACACAAAUCCAGUUGCAAUAUCAACAACGUUACAAACCGUCAGCACAACUGCAGCUGCAACAACAACAACUUUACAGCCCAGCUCGACAACCUCUUUACUUGACCCCAGUGUGACCACACAGGCGCCUGGCGGCGGAGGAAACGUCAAACCAACGAAGAAGCCAAAUCCCAGUGGAAACAAGCAACGCAUAGCUCGUGAGAUUCACGGCAAUGUGACAGAAGCCAGUGGGAACAGUAAUGGCAUCACAACCGGCCUGUAUCAAGAUAUGGAAGUGAACUGCGCCAUGAAGACUGCAAUAAGAAACACCAACUGUACUGUGAUGCUGAAGCUGAGGCAGAGUGUGCCGCCAUGUUGUAUCCUCCGUACGCUCUGUGCAGCCAGUGUUACUUCCUCCGACAUCAGGGUGGUGGGAAGAAAAGCUGACAGAACCAGCCAACUAAAAACUGUGUGCAACAGCAAUCCACAAGAGGAGAAGACUUGCUCUUAUAAGGGUCCAACCGGUGGAUCAUGUGAAGUGUCUGGAUCUGCUUAUGUUGUUCAGCAAAGCAACUCAACACAUUGUGGUGCAGGUCAGGUGAACAACACCUGCAGCUGCUCUGCUUACUGCAAUGGAACUGAUGCAUACUACAGUUUUAAAAUGUAUAUAAACGAUCCAGAGAUGAACGAGUCAUACGUCUUAUUCCUUAUUUCGAAGAUACGACAAACAACAAACUGUUCUCUAAGUGCAGAUGGUUCAUGUCCAUUGAACAUCGUUGCAUCUGAAUACAAGAGAGCCAAUGUGACCUGUGGACUCAUUGAAACAAAUGUUCAAAGCUGCAGAGCAGUUUUACGCUUUGCCCGUCAGGUUCCUAUCUGUGCCGUGUCGAAGGCUUUGACGAAUGUGUUUCAGGCCGAAGAACAAAUCACUUACAGCGGACUAGUGACCCGAGCAGCAAUUUGUGAAAAUUCAGCAGCCAGCAACGAUCCACUAAACUCCCUGUUCACGUGGUUUAAAGUGAAUCUAACGCCUGCUGAACUUUGUCUGGCAAGCGACAAUUCUCACCUCCUGAACUGUCAAAAUGGAAAAGAUUUGGCCUUGCUGUUGAACGAGAGUUGUGUACACCGGCCGUCUACCACAUCCAGCCCAAGUGUCACCACAUUGCAACCAAACACCACCUUGUCGGUGAAUGUAACCUCACCCCCGCUGAACGCAACAACGGAAGCCAUGAAUACCACCACCGCCGCUAGCGCUAACGUCACAGUGACAAAUUCACUCAACAACACAACUUUAACCCCGCUAAACACAACUGAAGCCCUGAAUACCACCGCAACCACUGUAAGCUCCAACGCCACAUUGACAACAACACUCAACAACACAACUUUAACCCCGCUGAACACAACAACUGAAGCCCUGAAUACCACCGCAACCACUGUAAGCUCCAACGCCACAGCGACAACAACCCUCAACAACACAACUACAACCACCGCAAAUGAGUCUGUUUCUCUUGCCCCAUCAGAGAGCCCAACAACCACCCUAUCAGGUGUGUUAUCAGCAACAUUUGUGUGCAACAUUUAUGUUAUUUUUGCAUCAUUUCAGAGCAUCUCUUUUCAGUGUUGUUCUUUGUUGUUGACUCCAGCUGACAGCCAAGCCAACGCACUACUUGAUCUGACCAGAGACGUGUCCAACCUGAACUCCAGCCAGGUGGAGCAACUGGUGUCUCAGCUGGAGGAUCUUUUGUCGGGCCCGACCGUCAGCCUGGAGCUGGGAAACACCUCCGUCCGCAUUGUCAGCAAUCUGCUGGACGCUUCUCCUGAGGUGCUGGCCACCACCUCCAACAGGUUACUGAUGAAUUCAUCUGGCAUUCAAUGA
Molecule: long non-coding RNA, 2574 nt
Filed under: Sparus aurata (gilthead seabream)
Lineage: Eukaryota; Metazoa; Chordata; Actinopteri; Spariformes; Sparidae
Description: lncRNA (ENSSAUG00010001972.1)
Source: RNAcentral